This 444-nucleotide ribosomal RNA is filed under the name uncultured bacterium. Its description in RNAcentral is "SSU rRNA". It matches the Rfam family "Bacterial small subunit ribosomal RNA", at positions 26 to 517 of the family's 1533-position model. The record is from RNAcentral.
AGAGCGAACGCUGGCGGCAGGCCUAAUACAUGCAAGUCGAACGCACCUUCGGGUGAGUGGCGGACGGGUGAGUAACGCGUGGGAACGUGCCCUUUGGUUCGGAAUAAUCCGGGGAAACCUGGCCUAAUACCGGAUGUGCCCUUCGGGGGAAAGAUUUAUCGCCAUUGGAGCGGCCCGCGUCUGAUUAGCUUGUUGGUGGGGUAAUGGCCCACCAAGGCUACGAUCAGUAGCUGGUCUGAGAGGAUGAUCAGCCACACUGGGACUGAGACACGGCCCAGACUCCUACGGGAGGCAGCAGUGGGGAAUAUUGGACAAUGGGCGCAAGCCUGAUCCAGCAAUGCCGCGUGAGUGAUGAAGGCCUUAGGGUUGUAAAGCUCUUUUGUGCGGGAAGAUAAUGACGGUACCGCAAGAAUAACGCCCCGGCUAACUUCGUGCCAGCAGCCG